UUAGAGUUUGAUCCUGGCUCAGGACGAACGCUGGCGGCGUGCUUAACACAUGCAAGUCGAACGGAAAGGCCCGCUUGCGGGUACUCGAGUGGCGAACGGGUGAGUAACACGUGGGCAACCUGCCCCUGGCUCUGGGAUAACACUUGGAAACAGGUGCUAAUACCGGAUAAUGACCCUACCUGGCAUCAGGUUUGGUCCAAAGUUUUUCGGCUAGGGAUGGGCCCGCGGCCUAUCAGCUUGUUGGUGGGGUAAUGGCCUACCAAGGCGACGACGGGUAGCCGGCCUGAGAGGGCGACCGGCCACACUGGGACUGAGACACGGCCCAGACUUCUACGGAAGGCAGCAGUGGGGAAUAUUGCGCAAUGGGCGAAAGCCUGACGCAGCGACGCCGCGUGAGGGAUGACGGCCUUCGGGUUGUAAAGCUCUUUUGGCGGGGACGAUGAUGACGGUACCCGCAGAAUAAGCCCCGGCUAACUUCGUGCCAGCAGCCGCGGUACGCCC
Molecule: ribosomal RNA, 501 nt
Filed under: uncultured bacterium
Lineage: Bacteria
Description: bacterial SSU rRNA
Rfam family: Bacterial small subunit ribosomal RNA
Source: RNAcentral